UGGAUGCGCAUAGCAAUGUCUGACGCCAUUCCGAGUCCGGCGGACGAAGUUGGCCAGCCCCACCCCCCAAGGCUAUCGCCCACCCGUUUUUGUGGCCUUUUUCCGCUGGACGAACUUGGCGCCCCGGCCUUCGGGCGGUUAUUUUUGGGCGCGGCUGUGCCCGCGGCCUAUUUUUGGCACACGGAGGCGCCUCGCAAUGUCUCACGCCAUUCCGAGUCCGGCGGACGAAGUGGGCCAGCCCCACCCCCCAAGGCUAUAGCCCACCCGUUUUUGUGGCCUUUUUCCGCUGGACGAACCUGGCGCCCCGGCCUUCGGGCGGUUGUUUUUGGGCGCGGCUUUGUCCACGGCCUAUUUUUAACACGCGGAGGCCCCUCGCAAAGUCUCGCGGCAUUCCGAGUCAGGCGGACGAAGUCGGCCAGCCCCACCCCCCAAGGCUAUAGCCCACCCAUUUUUCUGGCCUUUUUCCGCUGGACGAACCUGGCGCCCCGGCCUUCGGGCGGUUAUUUUUGGGCGCGGCUUUGUCCGCGGCCUAUUUUUAACACACGGAGGCCCCUCGCAAAGUCUCGCGGCAUUCCGAGUACGGCGGACGAAGUUUGCCAGCCCCAGCCCCCAAGGCUAUAGCACACCCGUUUUUGUGGCUUUUUCCGCUGACGGACUUGGCGCCCCGGCCAUCGGGCAGUUAUUUUUGGCGGGGGCUUGCCCCGCGGCCUAUUUUUGGCACACGGAGGCCCCUCGGAAAGUCUCGCGGCAUUCCGAGUCCGGCGGACGAAGUUGGCCAGCCCCAUCCCCCAAGGCUAUAGCCCACCCGUCUUUGUGGCCUUUUUCCGCUGGACGAACUUGGUGCCCCGGCCUUCGGGCAGUUAUUUUUGGGCGCGGCUUUGUCCGCAGCCUAUGUUUGACACACGGAGGCCCCUCGCAAAGUCUCGCGGCAUUCCGAGUCGGGCGGACGAAGUCGGCCAGCCCCAAACCCCAAGGCUAUAUCCCACCCAUUUUUGUGGCCUUUUUCCGCUGGUCGAACUUGGCGCCCCGGCCUUCGGGAGGUUAUUUUUGGGCGCGGCUUUGGCCGCGGCCUAUUUUUUGCACAUGGAGGCCCCUCGCAAAGUCUCGCGGCAUUCCGAGUCCGGCGGACGAAGUCGGCCAGCCCCACCCCCCAAGGCUAUAGCCCACCCGUUUUUGUGGCUUUUUUCCGCUGGACGAACUUGGCGCCCCGGCCUUCGGACAGUUAUUUUUGGACAUGGCAUUGCCCGCUGCCUAUUUUUGGCACACGGAGGCCCCUCGCAAAGUCUCGCGGCAUUCUGAGUCCGGCGGACGAAGUUGGCCAGCCCCACCCCCCAAGGCUAUAGCCCACCCGUUUUUGUGGCCUUUUUCCGCUGGACGAACUUGGCGCCCCGGCCUUCGGGCGGUUAUUUUUGGGCGUGGCUUUUCCCGCGGCCUAUUUCUGGCACAGGGAGGCCCCUCGUAAUGUCUCGCGGCAUUCCGAGUCCGGCGGACGAAGUUGGCCAGCCCCACCCCCCAAGGCUAUAGCCCACCC
This 1531-nucleotide long non-coding RNA is filed under the name Citrus x clementina. Its description in RNAcentral is "Citrus clementina (C. clementina) long non-coding RNA (CCLE_LNC004900)". The record is from RNAcentral. Lineage: Eukaryota; Viridiplantae; Streptophyta; Magnoliopsida; Sapindales; Rutaceae.